This 424-nucleotide ribosomal RNA is filed under the name uncultured bacterium. RNAcentral's name for it is "partial 16S ribosomal RNA". It matches the Rfam family "Bacterial small subunit ribosomal RNA", at positions 360 to 776 of the family's 1533-position model. The record is from RNAcentral.
AAUUUUGGACAAUGGGGGAAACCCUGAUCCAGCCAUCCCGCGCGUUGGAUGACGGCCCUCGGGUUGUAAAGUACUUCUGGCAGAGACGCAAAGGUAUCCCCUAGUACGGGAUACUGCUGCCGCUAUCUGCAGAACAAGCACCGGCUAACUACUGGCCAGCAUCCGCGGUAAUACGUAGUGUGCAAGCGUUAAUCGGAAUUACUGGGCGUAAAGCGUGUGUAGGCGGUUCGGAAAGAAAGAUGUGAAAUCCCAGGGCUCAAACUUGGAACUGCAUUUUUAACUGCCGAGCUAGAGUAUGUCAGAGGGGGGUAGAAUUCCACGUGUAGCAGUGAAAUGCGUAGAUAUGUGGAGGAAUACCGAUGGCGAAGGCAGCCCCCUGGGAUAAUACUGACGCUCAGACACGAAAGCGUGGGGAGCAAACAGG